Molecule: ribosomal RNA, 559 nt
Filed under: Acidovorax temperans
Lineage: Bacteria; Pseudomonadati; Pseudomonadota; Betaproteobacteria; Burkholderiales; Comamonadaceae
Description: bacterial SSU rRNA
Rfam family: Bacterial small subunit ribosomal RNA
Source: RNAcentral
UUGCUAAUACCGCAUAAGAUCUACGGAUGAAAGCAGGGGACCGCAAGGCCUUGCGCGAACGGAGCGGCCGAUGGCAGAUUAGGUAGUUGGUGGGAUAAAAGCUUACCAAGCCGACGAUCUGUAGCUGGUCUGAGAGGACGACCAGCCACACUGGGACUGAGACACGGCCCAGACUCCUACGGGAGGCAGCAGUGGGGAAUUUUGGACAAUGGGCGAAAGCCUGAUCCAGCCAUGCCGCGUGCAGGAUGAAGGCCUUCGGGUUGUAAACUGCUUUUGUACGGAACGAAAAGACUCUGGUUAAUACCUGGGGUCCAUGACGGUACCGUAAGAAUAAGCACCGGCUAACUACGUGCCAGCAGCCGCGGUAAUACGUAGGGUGCAAGCGUUAAUCGGAAUUACUGGGCGUAAAGCGUGCGCAGGCGGUUAUAUAAGACAGAUGUGAAAUCCCCGGGCUCAACCUGGGAACUGCAUUUGUGACUGUAUAGCUAGAGUGCGGCAGAGGGGGAUGGAAUUCCGCGUGUAGCAGUGAAAUGCGUAGAUAUGCGGAGGAACACCGAUG